Molecule: ribosomal RNA, 2243 nt
Filed under: Clostridioides difficile
Lineage: Bacteria; Bacillati; Bacillota; Clostridia; Peptostreptococcales; Peptostreptococcaceae
Description: bacterial LSU rRNA
Rfam family: Bacterial large subunit ribosomal RNA
Source: RNAcentral
GGAGCCGUAGCGAAAGCGAGUUUUAACUGAGCGUUCAGUUACUUGACGUAGACCCGAAACCGGGCGACCUACCCAUGAGCAGGAUGAAGCGAAAGUAAAAUUUCGUGGAGGUCCGAACCCACGAGCGUUGAAAAGCUCGGGGAUGACUUGUGGGUAGCGGUGAAAUUCCAAUCGAGCCCGGAGAUAGCUGGUUCUCCCCGAAAUAGCUUUAGGGCUAGCCUCAAGGUGAGAGAUACGGAGGUAGAGCACUGAAUGUCCUAGGGGGUAUUGCACCUACCGAAGACUAUCAAACUCCGAAUGCCGUCAUCUUAUACUUGGGAGUCAGACUGUGGGUGAUAAGAUUCAUAGUCGAAAGGGCAACAGCCCAGAUCGUCAGCUAAGGUCCCUAAAUGUAAGUUAAGUGGUAAAGGAUGUGGGAUUGCACAGACAACCAGGAUGUUGGCUUAGAAGCAGCCACUCAUUCAAAGAGUGCGUAAUAGCUCACUGGUCGAGUGAUCCUGCGCCGAAGAUUUCCGGGGCUAAAACUUACUACCGAAGCUACGGCAUCAGUAAUGAUGGGUAGGGGAGCUUCCCAUACGGGUUGAAGCAUGACCGUAAGGACAUGUGGACAGUAUGGGAGUGAGAAUGUUGGCAUGAGUAGCGAGAUGUGGGUGAGAAUCCCACAGGCCGUAAACCCAAGGUUUCCAGGGGAAGGUUCGUCCGCCCUGGGUUAGUCGGGACCUAAGCUGAGGCCGAAAGGCGUAGGUGAUGGACAACAGGUUGAUAUUCCUGUACUACCGAUAACCGUUUGAGAGAAGGGAUGACACAGUAGGAUAAGCUAAGCACACUGUUGGUUAUGUGUGCCCAAGCAUUGAGGCAGUCAAAGUAGGCAAAUCCGCUUUGAUAAUGCUGGGAUGUGAUGGGGAGCGAAAUUUAGUAGCGAAGUAGCUGAUUUCACACUGUCAAGAAAAGUCUCUAUCGAGGUUAAAGGUACCCGUACCGCAAACCGACACAGGUGGGUGAGGAGAGUAUCCUAAGGCCAGCGAGAGAACUGUUGUUAAGGAACUCGGCAAAAUGACCCCGUAACUUAGGGAUAAGGGGUGCCACCAUCAGGUGGCCGCAGAGAAUAGGCCCAAGCGACUGUUUACCAAAAACAUAGGUUUCUGCUAAGUCGCAAGACGAUGUAUAGGAGCUGACGCCUGCCCGGUGCUGGAAGGUUAAGGGGAUCUGUUAGAGCAAUCGAAGCAGUGAACUUAAGCCCCAGUAAACGGCGGCCGUAACUAUAACGGUCCUAAGGUAGCGAAAUUCCUUGUCGGGUAAGUUCCGACCCGCACGAAAGGCGUAACGAUUUGGGCACUGUCUCAACAACAGACUCGGUGAAAUUGUAAUUCCGGUGAAGAUGCCGGAUACCUGCGACAGGACGGAAAGACCCCAUGGAGCUUUACUGUAGCUUGACAUUGGGUCUUGGUACUACAUGUACAGGAUAGGUGGGAGGCUUUGAAACCAGGACGCCAGUUUUGGCGGAGCCAUCCUUGGGAUACCACCCUUGUAGUACUGGGACUCUAACCAUAGGCCAUGAAUCUGGUCUUGGGACACUGUCAGGUGGGCAGUUUGACUGGGGCGGUCGCCUCCCAAAAGGUAACGGAGGCGCUCAAAGGUUCUCUCAGUACGGUCGGAAAUCGUACGUAGAGUGUAAAGGCAAAAGAGAGCUUGAUUGCAAGACAUACAGGUCGAGCAAGGAUGAAAAUCGGACUUAGUGAUCCGGUGGUUCUGCGUGGAAGGGCCAUCGCUCAACGGAUAAAAGCUACCCUGGGGAUAACAGGCUUAUCUCCCCCAAGAGUCCACAUCGACGGGGAGGUUUGGCACCUCGAUGUCGGCUCAUCACAUCCUGGGGCUGUAGUAGGUCCCAAGGGUUGGGCUGUUCGCCCAUUAAAGUGGUACGCGAGCUGGGUUCAGAACGUCGUGAGACAGUUCGGUCCCUAUCCGUCGCAGGCGUAGGAAAUUUGAGAAGACCUGUCCUUAGUACGAGAGGACCGGGAUGGACGUACCUCUGGUGUACCAGUUGUCCUGCCAAGGGCAUGGCUGGGUAGCUAUGUACGGAAUGGAUAAGCGCUGAAAGCAUCUAAGCGCGAAGCCAACUUCAAGAUAAGAUUUCCCACCGCAAGGGUAAGACCCCAGAAAGACUAUCUGGUUGAUAGGUCGAAGGUGUAAGUGCAGCAAUGUAUUUAGCUUAUCGAUACUAAUAGGUCGAGGACUUGACCAAU